RNAcentral lists this long non-coding RNA (1136 nucleotides) under Daucus carota (carrot). RNAcentral describes it as "long non-coding RNA (DCAR_LNC005063)". Lineage: Eukaryota; Viridiplantae; Streptophyta; Magnoliopsida; Apiales; Apiaceae. The record is from RNAcentral.
CCUCCCGCAUUUCAAAUCUUUUAUAAAAUCCUGGGCAACCCAAAUUUUUUUUUUUUGGAUUUUUUGACAUCUUCAACUGUAAUUGAUGAUCAGUCGGAGCAAUAAAGGAGCAAGUCAUGGGGCACCAAUGUCUCCGGCCAAUCGGUGUCGACUAGCGGCAGCGUGGGCUCUCCUACAACCGGGAGUGAGGCGAUUGGCAACACUCCCCCAGUGAUAAGACUUCUAUUACACUUGAUCAUGUAGAUGCUCAUGCUGGUGAUGUUGCAUCUCAAGCUACUUAUAUGUGAGUGCUUAAUUUGCUGUGUUUUUUGAGGAUUUUAUUGCAGGGAAUCGAGUGUGAUUGAUUUGCUUUUACAAUUGAGACCGGAUUCUAUGGUGAUUUGAUUAUAUAUUUUGAUUUUGGAGCAAUUUUCUGAUCAUUGGAUGGUAAUUAUUGAAUUUAGAAAAGUGAUUUUUUUUUUGUGUUUGUUUUUGUGUUUGGACUAAUUACUACCGUUUGAGCAUGAAUUCUGCUAACUGUGUGUAUUAAGUGUUUUACUAUAUUCUUAGUUUUGUUGUGAUGAGACAGUGAAAAAAAAGGGGUCAACAAGCAGUCAGAGGGGAUAAGAAUUGCAGGGGACUCCGCCAAUCUAACAUGAAAGGUUUGUGCCUUUGUCAUUCUAUGUUGUUGCGAUAGUAAUCUUCUGCGCAUGCUGUUUGAUGUAUAGUUGAUGUUUAACCAAGAGUGCUUGUACUGAUCAAUGGGUGCAUAGUGAACUGGUCUAUGUCAUAACAAUGUUAUAUUUUGGGCUCUAUAGUUCAAGUUGCCUAUUAGAAAAAUUGUUAAGUCUCUGCUCAAAAAUGAAAUCUGAUUAUAUUGUCAUGUGAUUAUGGUUCUUUAGCUAAAAUGGUUGGUUGUUUGGCGUCCACUCACAUCCAUUCCUCCGAUCCUGUCGGUGCCAAUUUUUCCAAGGUCAAACCCUUAUUCUUUUUUACUGAUUGUUUUGGUCAAUUUUGUUUAUUAUUUUUAGGGUUUUGAUUAUUUUUUGUGUUUGCUUUGUAAUUUGAUUUGGGUUGUGUGAAAAUUAGCUUUCUUGAUCUUGAUACUUGAGGGUUUUGUUUAAUAUGAUCAAAUUGAUUGAAGUGCUUUGUGAUAG